CUCCCCGUUGCUGACCCCAGGUUCGAUAGCGCCAAAUUAGGCGCCACCUCGCCAAGAACCAGCUUCGGUGAAGCGACGGGCGGUGUGUGCAAGGAG
RNAcentral lists this ribosomal RNA (96 nucleotides) under uncultured archaeon. RNAcentral describes it as "partial 16S ribosomal RNA". The record is from RNAcentral.